RNAcentral lists this ribosomal RNA (600 nucleotides) under Arthrobacter sp. YIM C733. Its description in RNAcentral is "bacterial SSU rRNA". It matches the Rfam family "Bacterial small subunit ribosomal RNA", at positions 47 to 660 of the family's 1533-position model. Lineage: Bacteria; Bacillati; Actinomycetota; Actinomycetes; Micrococcales; Micrococcaceae. The record is from RNAcentral.
CUUAACACAUGCAAGUCGAACGAUGAUCUCCAGCUUGCUGGGGGGAUUAGUGGCGAACGGGUGAGUAACACGUGAGUAACCUGCCCUUGACUCUGGGAUAAGCCUGGGAAACUGGGUCUAAUACUGGAUACGACUCUUCACCGCAUGGUGGGGGGUGGAAAGCUUUUGUGGUUUUGGAUGGACUCGCGGCCUAUCAGCUUGUUGGUGGGGUAAUGGCCUACCAAGGCGACGACGGGUAGCCGGCCUGAGAGGGUGGACGGCCACACUGGGACUGAGACACGGCCCAGACUCCUACGGGAGGCAGCAGUGGGGAAUAUUGCACAAUGGGCGCAAGCCUGAUGCAGCGACGCCGCGUGAGGGAUGAAGGCCUUCGGGUUGUAAACCUCUUUCAGUAGGGAAGAAGCGAAAGUGACGGUACCUGCAGAAGAAGCGCCGGCUAACUACGUGCCAGCAGCCGCGGUAAUACGUAGGGCGCAAGCGUUAUCCGGAAUUAUUGGGCGUAAAGAGCUCGUAGGCGGUUUGUCGCGUCUGCCGUGAAAGUCCGGGGCUUAACUCCGGAUCUGCGGUGGGUACGGGCAGACUUGAGUGAUGUAGGGGAGA